Brassica oleracea var. oleracea is the source of this 1118-nucleotide long non-coding RNA. RefSeq lists it as uncharacterized. The transcript has 3 exons. Lineage: Eukaryota; Viridiplantae; Streptophyta; Magnoliopsida; Brassicales; Brassicaceae. The record is from RefSeq and is a predicted model, not a curated record.
UUGAGAUUGUUGUCCAAGUUAAUAGCUAAAGAACUAACUUAAAGUUAAUAGCUAAAGAACUAACUUAAAGUUAAUAGCUCAAGAAUUACCUUAAAGCUCACACAAUUUUAUUCAAUCAAAUAUAUUUUGUUUUCUCUAAAUUGUUCCAUAGAAAUCAUUUAUUCUGAUUAUAUUAGAGAUUUUGGCAGAUAUUAUUCUAUUAACAAACAGUGUAUUAAAAGAUUUUGUUUGUUGUCUAAGUUUGAAACGGUUUAUUUGUGUAUGAACUAUGAGUAUUUGGGAAAAACAUGCCUAUACUUUUCUACUGUGCGAAUAAAUGCCUAAACUAUACAAAAUUUCAAUUACAUACUCGAAUUAAUAAAGUCCACUCUAAUUCAUACAUCGACACUAACGCUGUUUAAUCAUAGUUAACGGUGCUGACUAGCAUGAUUAUGUAGCUGAUUAGUCAGCUUCACAUACAAACGAGCCGUGUAGAAAAAAAAAGUAUUAUGGGUUGAAACUUAAAAAGUUUGGGCAGAGUAUUAAAAUUAUGUUGGGCCAAAUAUUAAUAUUUUUGAGCCAUAAUAAACUACGUCGUUUCAUAAUUCAUCUUCUUUCACUUACCCUUCGACGAAAUUGAUGAGAGAACAUAGGUUUUACGAUUAAGAAAGAAGAAUGUCUAGCUUUGCAAAUUCAAGCUCGUCGCCGGUUUCUGGCGGAGGCAAUUGGAGACAUCGUGGUAGAAAUCGACAGAGAGGAGUGCCAAAAACAUGUCGAUGUGGUGAAGAGGCAGUGAUUAAAACAUCUGGAACGGCUAAAAACUUGGGAGGCUCUUCCAUUGUUGUCCAUAUGGAUCCGAAGAGGACAAGUACCAUCUUUUCAAAUGGACAGACUAGAGUAUGGUGGAAGAGAUUAAGGAUAUUAAUGUUAUGCUAAGUGAUGUAAAAGGAGACAUAUCAUACUUAAAAGGUGAAGUAGUUGGACUCAAGAAGGAGCUUGAAGGAAUGAAGAAAGUGAUUGUCGAGUUGGAGAAAGAUAGGAUUGACUGCAUCAACGAGUUAAAGUCGAUGAAGAAUAUGUAAUGGUGUUCGGUUUUGGCAUUUUCAUCGUUUGCUAUUACUUUUUCGGUUAAGAAUGAU